Molecule: ribosomal RNA, 468 nt
Filed under: uncultured bacterium
Lineage: Bacteria
Description: partial 16S ribosomal RNA
Rfam family: Bacterial small subunit ribosomal RNA
Source: RNAcentral
GACGAACGCUGGCGGCGUGCUUAACACAUGCAAGUCGAACGGAAAGGCCCUGCUUUUGUGGGGUGCUCGAGUGGCGAACGGGUGAGUAACACGUGAGUAACCUGCCCUUGACUUUGGGAUAACUUCAGGAAACUGGGGCUAAUACCGGAUAGGAGCUCCUGCUUCAUGGUGGGGGUUGGAAAGUUUCGGCGGUUGGGGAUGGACUCGCGGCUUAUCAGCUUGUUGGUGGGGUAGUGGCUUACCAAGGCUUUGACGGGUAGCCGGCCUGAGAGGGUGACCGGCCACAUUGGGACUGAGAUACGGCCCAGACUCCUACGGGAGGCAGCAGUGGGGAAUAUUGCAAAAUGGGCGGAAGCCUGAUGCAGCAACGCCGCGUGCGGGAUGACGGCCUUCGGGUUGUAAACCGCUUUCGCCUGUGACGAAGCGUGAGUGACGGUAAUGGGUAAAGAAGCACCGGCUAACUACGUG